This 219-nucleotide ribosomal RNA is filed under the name uncultured bacterium. RNAcentral describes it as "partial 16S ribosomal RNA". It matches the Rfam family "Bacterial small subunit ribosomal RNA", at positions 1282 to 1500 of the family's 1533-position model. The record is from RNAcentral.
UAGGUCUCAGUUCGGACUGUAGGCUGCAACUCGCCUACACGAAGUUGGAAUUGCUAGUAAUCGUGGAUCAGCAUGCCACGGUGAAUACGUUCCCGGGUCUUGUACACACCGCCCGUCACACCAUGGGAGCUGGUAACACCCGAAGUCAGUAGUCUAACCGCAAGGAGGACGCUGCCGAAGGUGGGAUUAGCGACUGGGGUGAAGUCGUAACAAGGUAUC